Molecule: ribosomal RNA, 221 nt
Filed under: uncultured bacterium
Lineage: Bacteria
Description: partial 16S ribosomal RNA
Rfam family: Bacterial small subunit ribosomal RNA
Source: RNAcentral
GCAAGUCGAACGAGACCUUUUAGGUCUAGUGGCGCACGGGUGCGUAACGCGUGGGAACCUGCCCUUAGGUUCGGAAUAACUCAGAGAAAUUUGAGCUAAUACCGGAUAAUGUCUUCGGACCAAAGAUUUAUCGCCUUUGGAUGGGCCCGCGUAGGAUUAGGUAGUUGGUGGGGUAAUGGCCUACCAAGCCGACGAUCCUUAGCUGGUCUGAGAGGAUGAUC